CCUACGGGCGGCAGCAGUGGGGAAUAUUGCACAAUGGGCGCAAGCCUGAUGCAGCCAUGCCGCGUGUGUGAAGAAGGCCUUCGGGCUGUAAAGCACUUUCAGCGGGGAGGAAGGCGUUAAGGUUAAUAACCUUGGCGAUUGACGUUACCCGCAGAAGAAGCACCGGCUAACUCCGUGCCAGCAGCCGCGGUAAUACGGAGGGUGCAAGCGUUAAUCGGAAUUACUGGGCGUAAAGCGCACGCAGGCGGUCUGUCAAGUCGGAUGUGAAAUCCCCGGGCUCAACCUGGGAACUGCAUUCGAAACUGGCAGGCUAGAGUCUUGUAGAGGGGGGUAGAAUUCCAGGUGUAGCGGUGAAAUGCGUAGAGAUCUGGAGGAAUACCGGUGGCGAAGGCGGCCCCCUGGACAAAGACUGACGCUCAGGUGCGAAAGCGUGGGGAGCAAACAGGAUUAGAUACCCGGGUAGUC
Molecule: ribosomal RNA, 465 nt
Filed under: uncultured Klebsiella sp.
Lineage: Bacteria; Pseudomonadati; Pseudomonadota; Gammaproteobacteria; Enterobacterales; Enterobacteriaceae
Description: bacterial SSU rRNA
Rfam family: Bacterial small subunit ribosomal RNA
Source: RNAcentral